Molecule: non-coding RNA, 14898 nt
Organism: Equus caballus (horse)
Lineage: Eukaryota; Metazoa; Chordata; Mammalia; Perissodactyla; Equidae
Source: RefSeq, a predicted model, not a curated record
AAUAAAUCUUGAAAAAAUAAAUUGAUAUAGUACAUUUUUAGCUUUUCCCAAUUAAAAAGGAAUACUUCUAUAGUGACAUUACGUGACUUUUUUUUCCAUUUCUAGCAUUCUUUGAUAUUCAAGUAGGUCUUUCUGGAAGUAAAACAAAACAUUGAAGGGUUCUUUUUCUCGUCAUUUAUAAUAGGCUACGUUAAUAAUUUUAGAGAGCCGUUAAUGACCUUCCCACAUAAAAAUAAAUGCUCUAGAAUUGUUCUAAUUCAGCAAUGUCAGCAGUGCCCAGGCACUAAAUGAAAGUACCGUAAACGUGUUAUUAGUGGAAAUGACUAUUUCCUUCAUCACACAGACAUCAUUGGGCAAUACCAGGAGCCAGUAUAAAGGGCUCUUCCAUUCAGUGUUGGACACCACAACCAAAUGACACAGACCCAGAGGAGCUGGAGGAUAGCCAUGACCUCAGGCGAGUGACUUCACUCCUCUGGGCCUUCCUUUCCUUGGCUAUAAAAAUGAUAGGAUCGGGGUAAAUAAACUUUAAGGUGUUUUCCAGUUCUAAAAUAUUAUAAUUCUAAGAGAAAAUAAGUUAGCUGGAUUGGGACAAAAAGAGCCAAUAUUUUUAUCACUUAGAGUAAAGCCAGUUGUCAGCCUCUUGUUUAUUAAAUGUUUGCAUGGCUCCUUCUCGCCCUCUGGGCUGGGUGUCAGGGGCACAGAUGAGUACAUUGUGGUCCUUGUCCUCAAGAAGCACACAGGCUGGGGUGCCGGGAGAGACAGGCGUGUAAACAGAUCAUUAAAAUGCAAUGUCGCAAGGGCUCUGGGAGAGUCACAGACAAGGAGCACAGGGCAGGAAGUGACUAACUCACCCUGGGAGACGUCUCACAGAAGAAGUACUGUUCAACACGAGCCUGGAAAGCAUCCUGAUGAAUCCAAUAACUUUGGCUGGUGUUGCUUCUAAGCUGCCUGGACCAGGUAUUUCCCUUAUAAAUGUUCUGCACAUUCUGCAGCAAGCCCUACUUUCCGACCCUGGGGAAGGACACAUAAAUUUAGUCACACAGACCCAGAAAUCCUCCAGGAGGUGCCUUCGACCUCCAGAAACACCACCUUCUCUGGCCCACCUCACCAUACCUCUCCUCCUCUUCCCAGGCAGGUUCGUGGACAUUCUGGAAAGACAAUUGCUGGUAAUCCCUAUGCAGCCAGGACUCACUUCCAGGACCCUCCUCCCAGGGAGCUCAUGCCCAGACACCAGCUCCCUCAGGAAACGAUCCUGUCCUUGGCUGGCCUCCUGGCUCCUCGCCAGCCUGCUCACUGAAUUCAAUUCAUAGCCCGUUUUUCUAAAAAGCAGACUCAGACUUGCCCCAGUACCUGUCACAGAUGCUACUUUCUCCCUCUGUUCAUAAGUAAACACUCAUCUUUCUGCAUUUCUUUCUCCUCUACCACAGAAAGAAGCAGCCACUUUCCACUGAGAGCCAGAAGCCAAAAUCCGAACUGUUGUCGUGAGGUCACAAGGGUGAUCUUAUAUACGGUGCCAUCUAUUCCAUCUCAGGCCAUUCCUGUGCAGCUGCUUCGAGCUAAAACUCCUCCACGCUCCACUUCUGAUUUUCCAGGGUUUCCCUGUCUGUCAGUUUCAGCCUGCCCCCUCCUGUUAUUUUUAGAUUUGAUUUUAGUCCUUAUAAAGGGCCAGGGGUGAGGAUAGGGAGAAAAUUUUUUUCAUUUUAAUUAAAAGCAGAUGACAAAGACAACUCAGUCAUGGAAAAUAACAGGAGUCACACUGUCUCUGGCUCCCAUUCGCGUAUUUCCUCCAUCAGCUGCAAGCGAGCAGAGAAGCAACAACGCUAAUUGAGUCUCCUCUGCCUUUUCCAGAAGACACACAUGAUCUAAGCAGAUCUCACCCGAGAUUCCGUUAGAGAGCUGCACGUGCUCUCCUUCCCUUUCCAUUCCCCCUCACAGAGUGAUUGCAUUUUAGAGCUGGCAGGCAGCUUCUGUGACUAUCUUCAUGUUACCAGGAGGAGCCCAGGGCCAAGCGAGGUCAAGGGAGGUGCCCGAAAAGGUCCAGCCUACUGAGGUCUCUCCAUUCCCACCUUCCAAGCGCUGAGCCUUGUCGAAUCCAUGUUUUUCAGCUGCCCAAAGAGUCCAAAUAGAGCAAGAGCUCCUUGAAGUGAGGGGCCCCAGCCUUGUGUGUUCUGUCCCUCAGUUCUCAGGACCUGCACAGGCAGGUGAAUGUGCACGGCGAAGCCGCUGCCUUUCACUCAUUCUUCCACACACUGUUGUUGCUGUUCUCCAACCUUCCGAUGAAUGUUUGUUUUUUCUCUCUCUGGACCAAUUUAGCCUUGUGCAUACUCUAUGAGCUUGGAUGUCUGCUUGCCUAUUAACUCAAAGACAGUUUAAUUCCAGAUUUUCUUCCAAGACUUCAUUUAGAUUCAGUCUUCAACGUCUCAUUAUUCAACAUGUUUACAGUUAGAUGUUCUAUUAUCAUAUAUAAUCAUUCGAAAGUACUAGUCUCUGUGUUCAGGUAACUCACAUGACACAGACUACAGCAUCUGUUGUGGACACAGCAUGGAAUUCAGUUUUGUAUUGUCAAACUCUUGCCUUUCUUCCUGGUUUCUCCAAAUGUAAGAAGGUCAUGGGGUGGGAGUGACCAGAUGAAAUCACUUACAGGUUAUCCACGAGACAAAGCCAAGGAAGCCCUGAUAAAGACAACCUCCACUCACGUCAUAUGACAGACAGAAAAAGCAUAUCUGGGUCUCUGCCCUGCUCAGUAGGAGAAUGAGGACUCUUGAUGGCAAAAGACGGAAACUCAAACCAGUUUGAGAAAAAAAGGGAGACAUUAUUAGAAGGCUUAUAUCCUCAUCUGGGAAGAGCAGAGAUGGCACUGGACAUCACAGACAGCUGGCACCAGGGACUCACAAGCCCCCAGCAUGCUCUUUCUUUUCUCUACCUCUCUCUCUGAGUCAGCGUUACUUCUCCCAAACUGGCUUUGGGAGUGAGCUCUUCCUCACGUGCAGCUUAACCCUCAGACAGAGAUUAGCUCCCUCUCCCCAGUUCCAGUUGCAAAACCCCCGAGGAAUGACUCUGUUGGUCUGACGAGGGCCAGGUGCCUACUCCUACCCCCAGAUAAUGGAGACUUUCCUCAAAGGAGGGGAAACAGAGGCCCCCUCAGUCACCCUAAUUCACAUCUACCACCACGUGUGGCAGGGGGCAAGUUUCUUUAACUUCUCUGAGCCUUGGUUUCUUCAUUGUAAAAUGAAACAUUUGGGGAGGGGCACAAAAAUAACACCUUCUUCAAAGAGCUGUUGAUCAUUUUACAUAGAUAACCAAUGUCAAAGGCCGCUGCAGUGUCUGCUAUAUGCGAAGCAUCAAUAAAUGUUCAUUUUUCUUCCAAGGUGAGUCUUAAAGUCAAGGAAGAAGUCAGCACGCUAAAAUGGAGAGGAAGAUUAUUUGGAGCACAGGGAACCGAAUGGGAAAUGCUGUACAAUUCAGAGUAAGAGGCACUAUAGGAGUUGUUAAAAGGAGGGCAAUUGAACCUUAAAUCAUUCCCACCAUAAAUCACCCAUAAGGUCCAUGUUCUAGAAAAAGGGGGGCUAGCAUUAGCUAUUGGGAACCUGGAAUGUCAAGUUGACCAAUUAGUCUGUAGCUUGUGAGACAUUCUUCACUAUCGAGGGGAAGAUUAUUUCAGUCAAGGAACAUUUUAGGGCCAACAUAAAAAGAAUUGUAAAAGAUUUGGAUUUUGAUGAACUCCAGGGAGCAAACGCUGCAUUUGCUCACAUUCCCUUUAUAACGUGUUGGAGCGAGGCCAAUGAACAUGCCCAGCUGUGCAGCAGGGUAACUUGAAUUUACUACUAGUUCUACAAAAAUAUUCCCUAUGUUGUCUUCCCUCAUACAUUUUAUCCUUAAGUUUUAUGAGAGGAAAAAUAGACUUUAUAUUAUACACGUCUUAGGUAAGAUUACUACAGCAAUGGAGCACUGAAAUCAAUAGAUCGUAAAAUUUCCAGUUUUCCCAAAGCUUAGAGAAUUUAGUACAUCUAAGAUUUGGCGUUUUUUGCAUUUGAAUCAAUUUGACUCAUACCAACAUCUGUUCCUGAUAAAAUAGUAUGAAAUGUAAUGUCUUCAUGGUGGCACAGAAUCAAACUCUACCCCCUCUCUUUGCUCCUCAUCCCUUUCUUCGAUAGUCCCCAUAUCAUCUCCUCUGGUCUGUAAAUGACCGUGAUGCCUUACAACCCAAUAGUGUGGGCUACUACUGGCAGUGACCAUACUCCUCAUCACCUGUGGUAUGUGGCAUCUGGUAUGGUGGAACCUCACUACCUGCCAGUUUCAUCCCAUACCCUUGAGCUUUGAUUCAGCACAGAUUCUGCCUCCAAGACCCACUUGCCCUGAGGAAGUCUUCUCUUACUAUCCCAGCACACAGGCAUGUUCUCCUCUAAGCUCUUACUUGUAGCAUUAGUACCCUGAUCUUAAUCACAGUGUGCCUAGUUUUGCAGCUUGAUUUCUACAUGCCUACAUCUGAGACUUUGCUGUGUACUUGUUCCCCGGCACCCAGCACAAUGCCAAUGCAUACUCGAGGCUCCAUAAGUACACGCAGGAAUGAAUGAAUGAAUGAAUGAAUGAGUGGAAUACUUUUCUACACAGCUUGGCAUUUUCAGUUUUGGGAAUCGGGAUCUAUAUCAGACUUAAGUCUAAAGACAGCAGAUUUUGGCUCAAUUCUGUCACUUACUCACAACAAAUUGUCUCAUGGAUCUGGAGAAGCUUAGAUCAACAUAUGAAGAUAGAAUGAAACUGGUUGUCCUUAAGAAUGGCAUGGAGCUGCAACCAAGCACAGAGGUGGGGAUACAGACAGGAGAUGGGCUAGCAUCCCAAAUCCUGGUCCAGGAACCAAGUGACCUGCAUUCUGUCCCUGGUCAAUCACUAAAAAGAAGAUUCUGUCAUCUAGGUCAAGUGAUUGAAUCUUCUUGAGCCCAAGAAAAUUCAUAGACAUCUACCAAUGUAUGUACAAAUUUCCCCUCUUCAUCAGUGGACAAAUUUCCGCAGGGCUCAAGAAGCAUCCAUUUGAAGGUCUAAGGCCAUCAAGACCACUGACAGGUGGCCUUCAGAAUUAAGGACCAGCUAUCCACUCUCCCUUGACACACCAGCCACCCAAGCAUCCCCUUACACUGGAAACCAGAUUAGCUAGAGGAAGGGGGAAGGGAGAGAAACUCCCAAAGACUGAGCACUUACCAGUAAAAGCCUGAGUUUACCAUUUUAAACCAGAAAAUAGAGGUAUCUGUCCACAGUUUUCAAACAUAAAUUCUUCCUCAACCCCUAAAUCAUCUGUGGAAUGGGCUUCAAAAAUAAGUUGAGAUCAGUUAGACUCUACAAGAGAGAGCCCCACAAUGCUGAUCAACGUUCGUUUGGUGAGAGAUCCACUGCUUUAACGAAGUCAUUCCACACCAUCCGUUAGAAGAUCCAGUACCAGUGUCUAAGGCUGAGUUUGGGAUGAAAAGAGGCAGAAGUUCUAAAACACUUUUAGCAUCUUUCUAUAAAUAUAUCUAGUUCAGCUGUUUUUUUCAAUUUCCGUGGAAAUGAAUGGCAACUCCAAAUCUCCGAAUUCAAAUGUUUGUUAUUCUAACUUAGGUUCACGGGUCUGGUUCUUCACUUGGUGUUGCUUUAGGGCCACACUUCCGAACCUCCCCAAAGAUAAGAGCCAUGAGGUGGCCUGCCCACAGAACCAAGCCCAGGCUCCUCCCAUGGAAAGUCAGGUUCAGGAGGUUGGGGUGGACCCAGGAGUCUUUGUUCUUUAAUGAGGGCCCCCAGGAAGGAGGGGAAACACUGCUUUAAGUCGGCCCUUCUCAGAGUGUGGUUGUUGGACCAGCAGCAUCAUCACCGGGGAACCGGUUCCCAAUGCAAAUUCUCAGGCCCACCUGCACCUACUGAAUCAGACGCCAGGUGUGGGGUGCAGUAAUCUGGAUUUUUACCAUGUCCUCCAGAUGAUUUUGAAGCACGUGAAAGUUUGAGAACCACUGCCUUCAGGAAAUGACAUACAGAGGAUGACAAACGUUUCUUAUCACAAAUAAAUACCAUUCAUUCACCCACACUCCACCAACACCUAAAAACUCAGCAAGAAUUUGUCUAGUAUCCAUGCAUCCGACAUGGUGUUAGGCUGCUGUGACAAUGGUCCCCAGACUUUGCUGCAUAUUUGAAUCAAUUAGACGUGGGGAGAUGUUAAAGCGCCCCUGCCCAGGUAGCACCCCAGAGGGACCAAAUCAGAAUGUCGGGGGCGGGAGGCAGGCAUCAGCACUGGUUUAAGGCACUGAGGUGAUUCCAGUGUGUAAAGAAGAUUAGGAACCACCAUCAAAAGCACUAACACAGCCCCUGAGAUCAGACUUGCCAGAAAAGAUCACAGCUACAAAUGCAGACAAGAGGCUGGGAUGGCGUAGGGCAGGCCCAGCAGGGACACUAUCCUUUAUGGGUUCAAACGACUAGAAGAUGCUUCCUAGAAGUCACCAGAGAGUUGGAAACACAUUCUCAUCCUCUUAAAUGUUCCUCAAGAGUCAGCAAGAAGUGGAUAGGUCAGAAGUGGAAGGAUGAAGGCUGCCCCCAUCUCCUCCGUUUUGACUCUUUCCAAACACACUUGAGCACUAUUAGCAUUUUAAUUAACAUCUGCCACCCUAAUGGGGCUUGGUAAAUAGCUACUGAGUGGGUCCCUGGGUGCAGAAUGAUGGUGAGGAAGAGGAGGAGGGGAAGGGAGGUAGAAAGGGAGGAGGAGGGAAGAGCUAACUUCCACGAGAGGUUCCCAUACGCCAAGCCCAGGGUCUCAGUCAUCUUCUUAUCGGACCUCACACAGCAGUUCCCUUUUGCAGGGGGUGAUCCAAGGCCAGGGCUGGUUAGGAACUUGCCCCUGCUCACAUCUGUGAGUGGCGGAAGCACUCCCCAGUCACGAUGCCAAGGCUGCCAAGGGAUCAAGGAUGCCCGGGGACAGGAAAGAGACUGAGAGGACAGGCAGAGCUUGCUUGAGGCUCGCUGAGUUCAGAUCUCUGGCAUGGUGAGACACUAAAAACCAGCCUCGCCAUCUGGUUUAAUCCAGGUGGAUAUUCUGGAUUGGGCGGGAAGCGAUGGGAGGAUUCCUACGAAGUCCAGAGCAGCUGGGAUGAGGCCGAGGGCAUGGCACAGGGGAUUGGAGCAGGAGCGAUCUACCAGUGCGCACAGGUGGAUUUCCAUUUUCAAACAACUGGUACGCACAUCAGUGUGUACCAGCAAAAUACAAGUCCUGGUUUAACCUGGUGCCGAUACAGAGCAUAAGGUUUUUUGCAGCUUAGGAGAUCUGAAUUUUUAAAAAGCCCUUUGGCAUCCUCCUUAACCCAUCCUGAAUGAGGUCCCAGAUGUCUCAGCUGGGCCACAGAACAAGCACAUUCGUGAGGACGCUCUUCCCCUCCUUCCGCCAGAAGGCCGUUCUGGGGGCUCUGUUUGGAAGAUGAGGCAAAUAACUUUUGCACAUGAAGAACCUGGCGGGUACAGCGGUAGGGAGAGAGAGGGAGAGAUUCCUAAAACAUUACUCAAAUGCAUCUCAAAUUUCACAUUUGAGCUGGGAAAAACACACCCAAAAUACAACUAACAGGAGCAGCUCAGAGCUUCAGUGUUGCAAGUUUUCAGUCAGCUACGGCAAGAGCGCGUUGCAGUUUGGGCAACUUCCCAGAACUGGUCAUCCAGCGGGGCGGGCGGGAGGCAGGAGGGAGGAGGGAAGGAGGAGGAAGGGAGGCAAGAGGGAAGGAGAAGGUAGGAGGCCACAGGAAGGUCAGACGAUUGCCACAGGGCUGGGAGUCUCAGGAGACCAUGGUGAAAACAAAUCAUGCGUUUGCCGCUUCAACGACGACGUCAACCAAAUUGUGGAAUAAAAACUCGUAAAGAAAAAUAUGGGCUGAUAUACAUUGUUUAUGAAAUACUAUGGCAAGCGUUUUACACAGAUUUAAGGAAAUCCAAGCACAAGAAAAGGGGUCAUCCGAUGCCACAGGUCUGUGUCAGGCGAAAGGCUGAGGGACCCUGGUUUGAAUUCUAAGCCAAGCAUCAAAUCAUUAUCAGUCAAGAGUUAGAGGGUAACAGCAAAAACUGAGCUAUUUGGAUGCAAAAUCUGCCUAAAAGCUAAAUGUUAGCACUGCAAAGAUCUCAGUUACUGGCACAGCAUUUCUAACAGUAACAGCCAGCACUUACGGAGGGCUCACCAUGUGCAGGCACCUGUCCUGACCACAUUUCAGACGCCAUCUCCUGUAACCCGCACAGCAACCCCACGUGCAAGGCGCCAAUCCUGUCCCCAUGGUACAGAGAAGGAACUGAGCAGGCCACUCAAGUGCUACGUGGCAGAGUCGAGUUUUGACUCCAGGCAACCUGAGCCCAGAGCCCAUCACUUCUUUAUAUUGAUGAGCCCUUUUCUCAUAGUCUUAACCACUACUGUUGUCUGGGCACUCACGUUGUUCCAGGUACUGCUCUAAGCAGUUUACGGGUAUUAACUCAUUUACUUCUCAUUGUGAUGAGAUACUAUUUCAUCUUUUAUGUUUUUUACAAAUGAGAAAACUGAGGCACAGAGAAGAGAGGUACAUUUCUCCAGAUCUCGUAUAUAGUAAGUGGUAGAGCUGGGCUUCAAAACGCAGUUGUCUGGUUCCAGGGCUCUGAACAGCCAGCAACUGCCUAAGAAACACCCACAUCAGGGUGGAGGGAAAGCACACAUUGAUGUCGGCACCCUCUGAAAUCUAAUCAGUUUCACCAGUGGGGAAGAUUUCCUUCUGGCCGUCCACAUUAGGGACAUGGGAAUCACCAGAAUAGACGAUAAGCACACUCCUUGGUGUUACUGCUGGGGCCCCGGUUUAUCAGAUGUGGUUUUACCCUGGGUACCACACUUUCAGCACAGACAGGCUGGGUCUCCACCCAGGUGAGGGCAUCCCUGAACUCCUUUGUUUUCUCAAAAAGACAGCCUCUCACAUUCCCAAGAAUGUGAAUCUGCCCCAACUAGCACCUCAGGUAACAGGCCCUCCAGCCCUCAGAGGACCCAAGCUCAGACUGAGUGCCAGCCCGCUCUCUCCAACUCAGACCUCUGCUGGAGGAAGAGACACUCAUGGAAGGAUACACCUGCUCAAGGUCCGAUCCUUGCAUUUAGACGGACCGCCAUAAGGCUAAACACCUGGGCUGUGUCGUCCUCGUCCCUUGCAGAAUUUCUUCACUUGAGUUGCAUUUAAAUAUUUUGCUGUCAACAUUUAUCAAAAAUCCUUUGUGAAGUAGUCAAAUGAAACCCUUACAGCAUCUGCCAUGGGAAACUUUCGAGGCUGCUUUCUACCGUCUCACACAGUCGCCAUAGGAAAGACCCCAUAAGAAACUUUCCUUUCUUUGCUUUUAAGCUGAGAAAAGCUUUAUUUGUCUUGAGGAAAUAGGAGGUUUUAUCAUUUCUGAGCAUGAAAACUAUGUUCUAACUGUCCAUCUCUUUUCCUCUCUAACUCAAUCUCAUUUUUUAAAGCUUCUAGGAAGCUCAGAGUCAAACUUGAAAUUGAAGAUAUGGGCCUUUAUAACCUGUAUCACGGGCCUCAAAACUGUCUCACCGUCCUCGUAGGAAAAAAUUUAAGGACAACCUCCUAAUAGAUGUUUAUUUGUUUGUUUGUGUAUUCACAAAUUAUAUGCAUGUACCUGAUUAUAUAUUCUAACCUGAUAUUUUAAAACAUGAUAUACGCAAAGGCCAAAGUUCAUUGUUAAUAACUGAGGAAGGAUAUAAAUCCAUAUUUCAAGGGUCUCCUAAUAAUUUCAAAAUUGUUUUAGCUUCUUUUAUCCCUGACUAGAUUGGACUGUCAUUAUAUUUACUUUUUUUUUGUAAUUGAAGUAUAGUUGACAUACAAGGCCAUGUUCAUUUCAAGCGUACAACAUAGCGAUUUGACAUUUGUAUACAUUACGAAAUGAUCACCACAAUAAGUCUAGUAACCAUCUGUCAACACACACAGUUAUUAGAGUAUUAUUGACUGUAUGCCCUGUGCUAUACCUUACAUCCCUGGCAUGAGAUCUACUUUUAAUGAGCCUGACAAAGAACUUGCCCAAGCCGUGAAAAGUACCAGCCUUGCCAUUUUCUUCUUCCCUUGAAGAUAAUACCAGUCCAAUGAGCAAAAUCAGCAGUUUCUUUGCAGGAAUAUUUUUAAGGUACUAUCCUUCAUUUGUGAAGAUAUACUUAAACACAGAUAAUAUAAACCAGAAAUCCACGUAACUGGACACACAUGUGCUGCAAGAUGCCACAUCUUGCCGAGAGCAACCAAGCAAAGGAGGAGGCUCUGUGGCCUCUCUGGGUGUGGGACAUCUGCCCAGAGCUCCACGGGACACCUUCCAGAAGAAUCACAGGCCAGCCGAGGGAAGCGCAUGAAAAGCACGUGUUAAAUAUUAAUAAAUCUUAGUGCCUCUCAUUUUAGGAUGAAAAAUGUCUCUAGCUGAACGUUCUAAUAUAUUUUCUUCCCAUACGACAGUUCAUCUCAUGUACACAAACCCAUUUGGAAACGCUCUGUCUGUACCUCUAUCUGUUUUUACCUUUUCCCAGUCCUGACUUCCCAGUCUUUUGCGCCGUCACUGUUUAUAUUUCUACUAACCACUAUUUUUGGCCUGAGUUCUCAUUAAAUUCUUUAUGGAAUGAGAGUGUACAUUCCUACACGUUGUGAACAGAACAAAUACAAGAAACUGAACAAGAACUCUUUUUUCUCAAUGUCUGUAUUAUUAUUUUAGCUAAUUGUAUAUUUGGGAAUCUGUGAAUUUUGGGUUAUUCCGAACACCUACGUCUCCAAGCAUUUCAAGGUCAUGUUCGGAGCAAUAAAUGUGAGCUAGCAUUGAUCAUCAACUGGAACGGAAACAUUUAGACUUAAACAAGAUGUUAAAUAUCUACCAAAUCAGAAUUAGGUUUGGUGACAGAAACCCUCAGAAAAUAGUGUCUUAAAGACACUAGGUUUUAUUCUCUCAUGUGCAAGAAGCCCAGAGGAAGGUUCUCUGGGGUUAGUCUGGCAGCUCCAUGAUCUUGUCUGGGACCCAGCCACCUUCAGUCUCUCCCAGGAUGUGGUCUUCAUCCCUGCGAUCUAAGACGGCAGCUGGAGCUCCAACCACCAUGUCCACUCUCCAGGCUGACAGCAAGAGGGAGGAGGGGGAAGACGAUGCCCCUUAAGGACACACCACAGGAGGCGCCACCCCAAUCCCUUUAUAUGGCCUUGGCCAGAAUAGAGUGAGACAGUUGUCUGUUUGGGAGGGGGAAACCAGGGAGAAUGGAUGUUGGGAAAACAACCAGCAGUCUCUGCCACAACCGCUGUAAAACUCGAGAUUUUCAUUAGCAAAGUACAGGCCCCAUACUAGAAUCGCCUCCAGCAGAAUUCUGAUUCUAGACCACCAACUUAUGACUGAUCCUGAUCAUAGUUUUUCCAUUCAAAGACCCAUUAUCUAUUACCACCCAGGGGUAUUUAACAUAAGAAUCAUCCCAGGAAUGCUUUGCACAUUGAAGAAGCCCUGAAAAAUGACUCUGAAUGCACAGUUAAUAUGGACGUACCAAAAGACAAACUUUUUCUGAUAGAAACCAUAGUAAGUAUAUUCCUAAGACAUUGCUGUACAUCAGGUUUUGCAAAUCUGAUCCUCCUUCAAAUGCAUUAGGAAAGUUAGCUAUUUAAUGAAACCCACAGUGAAUCUGGGGGAAGACUUCCAUCUUAUCAUAUGAAAAAUCACACUGUAACACAUCUGUCCCAGAAUCUGAAAUGUUCACUUAUCAGAUUUUCCUAAAUUAGUGCAAUUUCUCUGGUGACUUUAACAGACUAAAAGAAAGCCUCUGAAGCAAACCUAAAAUGUGACUGUCAUAAUGGGUCAUUAUUUCCCUUUUUAAAUCUCAUCUCGGCACCACUGUAUGUUCUCUAGUAGAGAUCCCUUUGGUGAGAUGGUCACUGGGCUUUUGCUACUUUCCCAUCAAACUGCCUUCAACAGCUAGAGACGUGGGCAGAUGCUGAGUGACAGUCUUCUGCUGCUGAACACGCAUCAGGAGAGAAUCCAUUGUGCAACAACACACGUUUCUCAAUUUUCAGAUGCCAAAUGUUCAAAAUAUAAGAAUACCUCAAAUGGUCACUCCCCAGAAUAAGACAGGCAGUGGUCCAUUCGUGAGCUCACACUCCAUCAGUGACAUCACACUCUAACCAGGAGGCUGUGCAGUUUAUAACUAAUCAACCAGAGAGCCGAAAAUAGAUAGGUUCUCCUUUCCUGGGCCUCCCCUCCCUCACCAAACCUGGAGGAGUUGCUCGCUUGAGUUUACAGGAAAAGUCUAGGAAUGUGGAUAGUUCCAUUGAGCUGAAGAGUAAAACAUGUUGGGGACAGAGGUUGAAUUUCACUGUGCACUUUAUAAAUAAGAACAUAGCAAGAGGUGUGGUUUCCAGAAAGCUGACACCUUAUGAGCACGUUCACCCACCCACCGCCAUUACCUGCAAUCCAUAAAGAUGGAAGGAAAUCUCUUCCUCUGUUUUGUAUUUUUUUUCCUCUCUGAAUUUUAAGGGAAAGAAGAAAAUUAUAAAAUCAGGAGCCUGCACAUCCCCUGAGACAUUUAAAUUUCAGCUGGACCAAGCACUACCCAUGUAUCACAGGCAACAAUUUCACCCUGGCAGGGAAGUGGACUAAGUGACUUAAUGGGUAUUUUCCAUCUCUAAUUUCCAUGAUUAAAAGAAAGAGGUUGAGAGGGGGACAUGUGGAGCCUAUUGUGAGUUUGCCAAUGAAUCCUAAUUUAGAUCAAAGGGAGUCUAUGUGACACUGAACCAUAAACACCCUAGUGUGCGUUACUUCAAGGAAGUCGUUAGUGUGUCCCCGAUGGCUAUUAUGUGAUAUAGUUGCGCUCUAUAGCCUGCACCCUUUAAUUACUAAUAUGGAAGAAAAUCCCAUAUAAGAGGGAGGAAUGUAAAUGAGACCUCUGCUCUUUUGAACAUUUUAUGCAUUUGCCAAAUUAAAAUUUGCUGUGGACUUUGGUUUUCCCUGACGGCUGUUGGUAGUGAUCAUUUGGCUCAUGGGAUUAAAUCCGACUUUCCAAAAACUACUUCCGAUCGGUAUGCAGAUUUCAGACCUUUAUGUAUGCUUUGCACUGAAACAUGGAUCAUCAGAACCAGAUUGGGAACAAUUUCUUUGAAGUUUUCAAAGGUAGGGAAGAAAUCCUCUUUCGUUCUCAUCUUUCCUUGUGCUGAGCGUUAUUCAGGGCAGGUUGAAGGCUGCAACGAGAGGGGGGCCUGUGCGGUCCAGGGGCCCAAUGUCACGCCACGCCCAUGCCCUACGCCCCCGUGCGUAGGUAGCCUCUGUGCAGAGAGGACUGGGCCUUAGGGAUGUGGGUCUGCAUCUGUAAGUGUGACCACGCAUCUCUGACAUGGAGCUUGCUCACACCAAGUUUUAAAGCACAAUUUCAAGAUGAGGACAACUCCAAAUGUCAACUUGAACAGUACGGUUUUAAUGAUAAUUCCUUCUCUAGGAUUCUUCUGCCCUCAGUCUACGUGUAGAAAAAGAGAAUUGAUAACAACUUUGCAAUUAAAUUAAGAUUAGUGCCCUGUACAAAAGCAAAGAUGCUUAUUAGACAGAAUGACUACGGAAGAUAUUAACCAUUCAGGGAGAUUUGCCAUGCCCAAUUCUGCAUCUUGUUCAAUAAAGCAAACUCCUUCUUUGCCAUCUGUCUCGUACUCCGAAGAGAUAAUAAUAAUAAAAUCAUUGCUUAAUGAGUAAACUAAGUAGAGGAUAAUUCCCUGGUAGAUCAUAUUGGUGUUCUUCUGCAAAGGAUGCCAUAUUCUCAAUGAGGCAGAGAACACAAGGGAGAGUGCGUGAUCAUGCACCAACGGGGAUGCCUAAAAUCAAAAACCAAUGCAGCAUAUGUCAGUAUUUAAAGCCCCAUCAAAGAAACAUCCAACUUUUCAGCUGUAACCCAAAUAUAAAUUUUCCUUACCCUGUCAAUUAGCAGAUUACAAAACUUCUGCAGCAGGAAGACCAUUCUGCCAGCAAAGCCAUAGUGUUUGGAAUGGGUCCAGGUCAGACAGAUGGCGUGGAAAAGGGGUGCAAUGAGACGUUCCCUACCGGCAAAGUCAACUGCUUCUCCACACAGCAAACGUAACCUUCGAAGGGCUGAGCCACGAGGUGAGUGCAUCUCUCCCACAGCUGGAGAAGCACACAGACGCCUAGAAUCACUAAAGUCGUUGGUGACAAGAGCAACAAUGGGCUGCCUAAGGGAAGCAUUUAGAGAAGAGAAGUAUACAAAAUAGUAAAUAAUUGGAAACCUUGUUCUUUGGCGUCUAAAAAGGGCCCCGUUUCAUCCCCAAGCCAAUGGGCAUAAAAAGCAAAAUCAUAUCUUCUCCAAGUAAGAACCUGAUUGUUAAACUAGGAUAAUAGAGAAUUCUUGCUCUCUUUCCAAUGCUGACCAUACCAUAAACAGUCAAAUGACGUAACCACGAGGGGAAGACAGGGGACAUUUGCUAUUCUAUUAUUAAAUGCCACCUGUACAUGUCACAGUCUAUUUGCAAAACUGGCUCCCUCACAAACAGCACCUACUCAGCUGCACAGAGAAGCUUGAUUCAGAACUUGAUGGUUAAGGAAGUUAUUAUGCAUAGUGGUAACCAUAAUAGCCCACUGAAUUUUAAAAGUGAGUUUUAAAAUAUAAAUACGAUUGAUGACUUUUUAAAUUUUUUUAAGAAUUUAAAUUCCCUUUCAUUAAGAUCAAAGAAGCAAAUCGACUUCCUUAACUUAAAUAUUUUUAGGUCAGUAAAAGUGUCUUUGUCGCUCUCUUUAAACUAAUAGUGACCAAGCCACUCGUAGGCACCAACAACGCACUGGGCGUGUUACAGGUGUCAACUUAGUGAAUCCUCUAAACAACCCUGCAAAUGGAAUUAUUCUCAUCAUUUUAGAGGCAAGAAAUUAAAGAUCUGAGAAAGGAACCUGGCCACACUC